RNAcentral lists this ribosomal RNA (1408 nucleotides) under Lactiplantibacillus pentosus. RNAcentral describes it as "bacterial SSU rRNA". It matches the Rfam family "Bacterial small subunit ribosomal RNA", at positions 66 to 1436 of the family's 1533-position model. Lineage: Bacteria; Bacillati; Bacillota; Bacilli; Lactobacillales; Lactobacillaceae. The record is from RNAcentral.
ACGGAACCUCUGGGUAUUGGAUUGGUGCUUGCAUCAUGAUUUACAUUUGAGUGAGUGGCGAACUGGUGAGUAACACGUGGGAAACCUGCCCAGAAGCGGGGGAUAACACCUGGAAACAGAUGCUAAUACCGCAUAACAACUUGGACCGCAUGGUCCGAGUUUGAAAGAUGGCUUCGGCUAUCACUUUUGGAUGGUCCCGCGGCGUAUUAGCUAGAUGGUGGGGUAACGGCUCACCAUGGCAAUGAUACGUAGCCGACCUGAGAGGGUAAUCGGCCACAUUGGGACUGAGACACGGCCCAAACUCCUACGGGAGGCAGCAGUAGGGAAUCUUCCACAAUGGACGAAAGUCUGAUGGAGCAACGCCGCGUGAGUGAAGAAGGGUUUCGGCUCGUAAAACUCUGUUGUUAAAGAAGAACAUAUCUGAGAGUAACUGUUCAGGUAUUGACGGUAUUUAACCAGAAAGCCACGGCUAACUACGUGCCAGCAGCCGCGGUAAUACGUAGGUGGCAAGCGUUGUCCGGAUUUAUUGGGCGUAAAGCGAGCGCAGGCGGUUUUUUAAGUCUGAUGUGAAAGCCUUCGGCUCAACCGAAGAAGUGCAUCGGAAACUGGGAAACUUGAGUGCAGAAGAGGACAGUGGAACUCCAUGUGUAGCGGUGAAAUGCGUAGAUAUAUGGAAGAACACCAGUGGCGAAGGCGGCUGUCUGGUCUGUAACUGACGCUGAGGCUCGAAAGUAUGGGUAGCAAACAGGAUUAGAUACCCUGGUAGUCCAUACCGUAAACGAUGAAUGCUAAGUGUUGGAGGGUUUCCGCCCUUCAGUGCUGCAGCUAACGCAUUAAGCAUUCCGCCUGGGGAGUACGGCCGCAAGGCUGAAACUCAAAGGAAUUGACGGGGGCCCGCACAAGCGGUGGAGCAUGUGGUUUAAUUCGAAGCUACGCGAAGAACCUUACCAGGUCUUGACAUACUAUGCAAAUCUAAGAGAUUAGACGUUCCCUUCGGGGACAUGGAUACAGGUGGUGCAUGGUUGUCGUCAGCUCGUGUCGUGAGAUGUUGGGUUAAGUCCCGCAACGAGCGCAACCCUUAUUAUCAGUUGCCAGCAUUAAGUUGGGCACUCUGGUGAGACUGCCGGUGACAAACCGGAGGAAGGUGGGGAUGACGUCAAAUCAUCAUGCCCCUUAUGACCUGGGCUACACACGUGCUACAAUGGAUGGUACAACGAGUUGCGAACUCGCGAGAGUAAGCUAAUCUCUUAAAGCCAUUCUCAGUUCGGAUUGUAGGCUGCAACUCGCCUACAUGAAGUCGGAAUCGCUAGUAAUCGCGGAUCAGCAUGCCGCGGUGAAUACGUUCCCGGGCCUUGUACACACCGCCCGUCACACCAUGAGAGUUUGUAACAACCCAAAAAAGGUUUGG